GCGAUCAUGGCGGAACUGGUAGACGCGUACGUUUGAGGGGCGUAUGGUUAUGCCGUGUGAGUUCAAGUCUCACUGGUCGCACCA
Molecule: transfer RNA, 84 nt
Filed under: Candidatus Avacholeplasma faecigallinarum
Lineage: Bacteria
Description: tRNA-Leu
Rfam family: tRNA
About the family: Transfer RNA (tRNA) molecules are approximately 80 nucleotides in length. Their secondary structure includes four short double-helical elements and three loops (D, anti-codon, and T loops). Further hydrogen bonds mediate the characteristic L-shaped molecular structure. tRNAs have two regions of fundamental functional importance: the anti-codon, which is responsible for specific mRNA codon recognition, and the 3' end, to which the tRNAs corresponding amino acid is attached (by aminoacyl-tRNA synthetases). tRNAs cope with the degeneracy of the genetic code in two manners: having more than one tRNA (with a specific anti-codon) for a particular amino acid; and 'wobble' base-pairing, i.e. permitting non-standard base-pairing at the 3rd anti-codon position.
Source: RNAcentral